AAAGUACCUUAAAUAUGUGUACAUAAAUUACGGUCAAAUUUGGAACCAUAUUAAAAAAAAAACGAUGCCACAGUAGCUUUGAUAGCUCACACAAUGGCUUAAACCUAAAUUUCUUAGAAAUGCUUGCUGUCAUAAUUGCAGUAUGAUCACUUCCAAUUAUGCUAUAGUCAUUGAUACCUAUUAUCAUUAUUACUAGUUGGCCAAAUUCAAUAAAGGAAGAUAUACAAAAUUUAGUAGUACCUGAACUUAAGGGGAUUCUCUUUUCCUUGUUAGUCAAUCAGAGAAACAGCAAAUAAUUUGCUCCAGAGUAGACUCUUAAAAGUGUUAUUAUUGGGGGAACUUAAUUCCAAACUUCUUCGUCUUUUAUUUCACUGCCGUCACCCAUUGUUCUCUUUGAGAUAGUAAAGCUUCGUGCCGAUAACGUGUUAUGAAAUAAUAAAAGAACAAGAAUAAUAUUGCAGAGAGAGUAGGGAGACGAGUAUUCUUAUUAAUACUUUUGGGAUGAUAUACAAUGGGGUAAGACCCUUCUAUUUAUAGGAAGAGAAAUGAGUUAGCCUCAAAGUAAAACUCUUCUAGAAGAUAGACAUUCACCCUAAUUAGAGUUCUAUUCUUAACACUCCCCCUUGAAUGUCUACUCAAUAAAUAAUGUGCCUCGUUAAAACCUUAACUGGUACACGCGAUCAGAACUUAAGUCAUGCUUUCUACAAGGAAAGCAAACUAUAAAUCUCAUUUCACAAUAGAUGAAACAAGCCUGAAAAGAAGAAAAAUUAGAAUUUUAAGAAUCACUGACCUUUUUACGGGCAGUGAACUAGGACGUCGCAGACCUCGGAUCUACACUCCUCUUUCGAACGAAAUCAGAACUGAUUCAAACGUGUUAAAAUGCGAAGCCUCUGUUAUAGUUAGAACCAAUAGAGACGAAGAAAACCUCCAAUAACUCAGGCUUUGUGAGACUUUAUAGCCAAUAGGUAAGGAGUAAGGGAUGCUUGCCAACAGUAAAUUUGAAAGGAGAGUGGCGUCUCUGAGCCAUCAUGUGAGUACUUAUAGGCAGAUAGAUUCGAACCUUAGGGUUUCCAAGUCAAAGUAGCGUUCAAGAACGGAUAAAAUAAUGACGGAAAAGAUAAAGACAAACGAGUAAGAAAAGCUUUACCUUUUCCUCCAAAAGAUCCUCUGCCAUAAGAUUCAAUUUUAAAAUAUAGGCAUGGUUUCAUGCUAUCUGACUUGGAAAUAAACAGAUUCAGAGAGUGAAACUGACAUUGCAGAAGGUAGGAUGAAAAAGUUCUGCUCUUGGGAAGAAAAGAUUGGAAUUUUGCUCUAAAGAGGAAAAUGGAAAUAGGGUGCCAUUGAUUGAUACGAAGAGAGAGAGAGUAAAACUUUAAUUUGAUUUGAGUUGUAAAAAAUUAUCUCAAUACAUAAAGUAAUUAUGGUCGUUGGAUCUAGAAAAUAAGGGUUGAGAUUAAAGAUCUAGAUGGUUUUAUGGGUUCUGUGUUAAUUGGAAUUGAUUUCGACGGAUUGGGAAGUCUUGGAGCAAAUUUGGCAGGCCUAAUUUCUUUCUAUUGGGCUAAAUUGAGUGCCUCCUUUAUUCCUGUGUAUUAGUAUAUACGUAUUUGUGCGACGCGCAAAUCAAUUAGAAAAAAGAGCAUAUAUAUUAUAAAUUACAAUCGAUAAUUAAAACAAAAAAUAAAUAUAUGAAUUUUAACGGGCUGUCUCUAUAUUAUUGUUGGCAAGGACUACCAAUUUUAAGUAACUUGUUAAAAAUGGAUUUGAGCAAGAAAUAUUUGGUCUUAUUUUUGUUCGAUAAAAUGUUUGUUCUUCAUUAUAAGUUAAAAACGAAAAAAGAAAAAUUAACUUUUGAAAAAAGUUUAAUUACUUCAUAAAGCGAAAAACCACCUAACUCAUCUAAAUUUGCUAAUAUAUCCAAUAGCUUGGUACUUCCUUUUUUUAAUUGUCGGGCAGCUUAUUAAAAGGAAGUACCAAGCUGUUGGAUAUAUUAGCAAAUUUAGAAGAGUUAGAUGGUUUUUCGCUUUAUGAAGUAAUUAAACUUUUUUCAAAAGUUAAUUUUUCUUUUUUCGUUUUUAACUUAUAAUGAAGAACAAACAUUUUAUCGAACAAAAAUAAGACCAAAUAUUUCUUGCUCAAAUCCAUUUUUAACAAGUUACUUAAAAUUGGUAGUCCUUGCCAACAAUAAUAUAGAGACAGCCCGUUAAAAUUCAUAUAUUUAUUUUUUGUUUUAAUUAUCGAUUGUAAUUUAUAAUAUAUAUGCUCUUUUUUCUAAUUGAUUUGCGCGUCGCACAAAUACGUAUAUACUAAUACACAGGAAUAAAGGAGGCACGCUCUUUUUUCUAAUUGAUUUGUGCGUCGCACAAAUACGUAUACUAAUACACAGGAAUAAAGGAAGCACUCAAUCAGUUAGCCCAACCCCUUAGAUAAGCCCAAUAGAAAGAGAUUAGGCCUGCCAAAUUUGCUCCAAGACUUCCCAAUCCGUAGAAAUCAAUUCCAAUUAACACAGAACCCAUAAAACCAUCUAGAUCUUUAAUCUCAACCCUUAAUUUCUAGAUCCAACGACCAUAAUUACUUUAUGUAUUGAGAUAAUUUUUUACAACUCAAAUCAAAUUGAAGUUUUACUCUCUCUCUUCGUAUCAAUCAAUGGCACCCUAUUUCCAUUUUCCUCUUUAGAGCAAAAUUCCAAUCUUUUUUUCCCAAGAGCAAGAGCAGAACUUUUUCAUCCUAUCUUCUGCAAUGUCAGUUUCACUCUCUGAAUAUGUUUAUUUCCAAAUCAGAUAGCAUGAAACCAUGCCUAUAUUUUAAAAUUGAAUCUUAUGGCAGAGGAUCUUUUGGAGGAAAAGGUAAAGCUUUUCUUACUCGUUUGUCUUUAUCUUUUCCGUCAUUAUUUUAUCCGUUCUUGAACGCUACUUUGACUUGGAAACCCUAAGGUUCGAAUCUAUCUGCCUAUAAGUACUCACAUGAUGGCUCAGAGACGCCACUCUCCUUUCAAAUUUACUGUUGGCAAGCAUCCCUUACUCCUUACCUAUGUCAUUAUUUUAUCCGAUCUUGAACGCUACUUUGACUUCCAAACGGCUAAUUUGAAAUCGCGCCUAAAGGAAACCCUAAGGUUCGAAUCUGCCUAUAAGUACUCACAUGACGGCUCGGAGACGCCACUCUCCUUUCAAAUUUACUGUUGGCAAGCAUCCCUUACUCCUUACCUAUUGGCUAUAAAGUCUCACAAAGCCUGAGUUGGAGGUUUUCUUCGUCUCUGUUGGUUCUCACUAUAACAGAGGCUUCACAUUUGAACACGUUUUCUCACAAAGCCUGAGUUAUUGGAGGUUUUCUUCGUCUCUAUUGGUUCUAACUAUAACAGAGGCUUUGCAUUUUAUCACAUUUGAAUCAGUUCUGAUUUUGUUCGAAAGAGGAGUGUAGCUCUGAGGUCUGCGACGUCCUAGUUCACUGCCCGUAAAAAGGUCAGUGAUUCUUAAAAUUCUAAUUUUUCUUAUUUUCAGGCUUGUUUCAUCUAUUGUGAAAUGGGAUUUAUAGUUUACUUUCCUUGUAGAAAGCAUGACUUAAGUUCUGAUCGCGUGUACAAAUCGCGAAGAAUUUUGUGUGUUCUGAUUAAGUGUUAAUCAAACAAGAAAAUAAAAUAUUGGCUGAGAACUUAUGUUAAUAUUCUUCUGUUGGUUGCUACUUUAGUUGUUGACCAUAUACUUUUGCUUUUAAUACCACGAGCUUCCUUUAUUAAAGCUUUUGAUUCGUUGGUUAAAUAAAUUAGAACAUUUCUUAUUGCUAUAUGUAUGAAGACUUAGGGUAGAUACUCUUUUCCAUGAGCAAAAUAUGACUGUAAGGUAUAUUUUUUCUCUAGUUUAAGUGCCAUACAAAACAUGAGGUUAGAAUACUAACUAUCUUAUUGUUUAGCUGGAUAUCUUGUUAGUUAGCAAGGAGUUCUCUUAGAAACUGUUCUUUAAUGAAAUCUAUGCGUAGAAUAUCAUUAAAAUGAACCUGUCCAACUCUAGUCGAGUGAGUAGUUGCUACUGUAGACUCAGAAUCUUUACUUUCAUCGGCUACUUUACCAAUAUUAUCAUUUUCAGCCAUGUGAAGUGAAUUAAGAAUGCAACUUACAGUUUAUUUCCUGCUUUGUAUUCCUCUGCUUCUUCAAUUAUUUCCCUUACAAUUUCCUUCUCCCUUUUCUCCUUCUCCUCAAGCCGUACUGCAUUCAAUCUGGAAAAUGAAACAAAUAUCAAACCUCUCACAUAAGGAAUGAGCAAGGACAUGUAAUCAAUCCACAUAAAAGAUAAGUUUUAAGAGCAAGGAAUUACAAGAGCAAAUUCUCAUUAAAGAUAUAUUUUAAAAAAAGAUUAAACACGGACGGAGAAUUUUUGUCAAGAACAAAUCUUUCCAAACAUUUGAGUUGCCACAAAAUAAUCAUGUUUAACAUAAAUGACCAAUGUAAAAUAAUAAUAACAAAUAGCCACUUAGAUAUAUAUAAAAAAUUAUAACCGAAACAAUACAAUGAACAAAGAGGAAAAAGCAAUGGCAAACUCAGCAGCUACAAGGGGUAGCUAACAAAGAGAAGGGCACAAAUCUGUUUUGCUAUUUGAAGAAUAAAUCUUGUACUAUAAAAGAAAAAUUGCAGAUAUGAGAGGAUGACAAUUAAAAAACCUUCACAACAGCCAUGAAAUUGGAGCGAGAAUUAGACAGAUUAAGAACGACAUCAGCCAUUAUAUUCAGUCGUCAAAAUUUAAAAGUCUAAAUAGAACCGAAACAAAUUGGGGAAAACAAGAAAUUGGCGAAAAAAUGACAAUAAAGCUGACCUGAAAUAUGAAAAGAACUUACAAAAAGCACUUCCGAGCGGGAGAGAGCGGCGAUGUUUCUUAUUAAUGUUUGGGAGAAAAUGAGGAAGACGAAGAACCGAAGAAGAUCGAAGAAGAAGCUACGCAGCGCAGGCAGGGUUAGGGUUAGGCUUUUUACUAUUCGGUAUAUUGUAAUUGUAUAGCAGUAUAUAUA
RNAcentral lists this long non-coding RNA (4992 nucleotides) under Nicotiana benthamiana. Its description in RNAcentral is "long non-coding RNA (NBEN_LNC016043)". Lineage: Eukaryota; Viridiplantae; Streptophyta; Magnoliopsida; Solanales; Solanaceae. The record is from RNAcentral.